UACCAGCUCUCCGAGUGGUAGGGAUGAUUAUUGGGCUUAAAGCGUCCGUAGCCGGCUUAGCAAGUCUCCUGUUAAACUCAGCGACCUAAUCGUUGAAUCGCGGGAGAUACUACUAGGCUAGGAGGCGGGAGAGGUCGACGGUACUUCUGGGGUAGGGGUGAGAUCCUAUAAUCCCGGGAGGACCACCAGUGGCGAAGGCUGUCGACUAGAACGCGCUCGACGGUGAGGGACGAAAGCUGGGGUAGCGAACCGGAUUAGAUACCCGGGUAGUCCCAGCUGUAAACGAUGCGGGCUAGGUGUUGGGAUGGCUACGGGCCAUUUCAGUGCCGCGGGGAAGCCAUUAAGCCCGCCGCCUGGGGAGUACGGCCGCAAGGCUGAAACUUAAAGGAAUUGGCGGGGGAGCACCACAAGGCGUGAAGCUUGCGGUUC
RNAcentral lists this ribosomal RNA (429 nucleotides) under uncultured archaeon. Its description in RNAcentral is "bacterial SSU rRNA". It matches the Rfam family "Archaeal small subunit ribosomal RNA", at positions 474 to 903 of the family's 1478-position model. The record is from RNAcentral.